Molecule: ribosomal RNA, 508 nt
Filed under: uncultured bacterium
Lineage: Bacteria
Description: partial 16S ribosomal RNA
Rfam family: Bacterial small subunit ribosomal RNA
Source: RNAcentral
GAUGAACGCUAGCUACAGGCUUAACACAUGCAAGUCGAGGGGAAACGAUAGAGGAAGCUUGCUUUUUCUAGGCGUCGACCGGCGCACGGGUGAGUAACGCGUAUCCAACCUGCCCAUCACUUGGGGAUAACCUUGCGAAAGUAAGACUAAUACCCAAUGACGUCUCUAGAAGACAUCUGAAAGAGAUUAAAGAUUUAUCGGUGAUGGAUGGGGAUGCGUCUGAUUAGCUUGUUGGCGGGGUAACGGCCCACCAAGGCGACGAUCAGUAGGGGUUCUGAGAGGAAGGUCCCCCACAUUGGAACUGAGACACGGUCCAAACUCCUACGGGAGGCAGCAGUGAGGAAUAUUGGUCAAUGGACGAGAGUCUGAACCAGCCAAGUAGCGUGCAGGAUGACGGCCCUAUGGGUUGUAAACUGCUUUUAUAAGGGAAUAAAGUGAGUCUCGUGAGACUUUUUGCAUGUACCUUAUGAGUAAGGACCGGCUAAUUCCGUGCCAGCCGCCGCGGUAA